AGAAAUUUUAAUGACAAAAAGAAUAAAAAAUUAUUGCUACAUACAAAACAUGUUAAAACCGUAAAUAACCGUUUAAUUCGUAUCCAGGCAACACAGUCUUAGCUGUAGUGGAUGACAAUAUAUGUGUUUUACAUUUAAAGGUGUUUUUUGUGCACUCACUCUCAUCAGGAACAAUUGAAGCAUUGGAUGUAUACAGUUACGCAUAAAAUUCUUUCAAAAUGGCCAACAAAAAUAAAAAAGAUGUUAAAUAAACAGAUAACAAAUAAAACAUAACAAAAAAGCAAAAAUAUCGUUCCUUUGCGAUAUUCAAAAAUUAAAUUGAAAAAUGGCAAAUGAAAACUGAAAUAUUUACAAUCAGUUGAAACGCUAUUAAUAAAUAACAACUCAAAAAUGGAGUAAAUCAUAGCUAUAACACCCCAAUUAUCCUUUCCGAGCUUUUGCAUAAAAGAUAAGUCAAGAAACCCAUAUUACUGCACACGGAACACUUAAAUGCGUUAUACAAUGUUUUAUAAAGCUAUUUAUAGUACAGGUUAUCAUAGAUACCAGGAAUUAAGCUUUUUUACGCGUUUCGUCGACAGAAGCGUAAAAAAAAGCAGAAUCACAAAAAACACUGAACAGUGACGCUCAGAUAAAAAUACCAAAGUGAAACUGCGGGCUACUGCUCACUGAUGAUACCCCCUCCACCAGUGAAUAAUUUUAAUAGUAUUUUAAUUGUGUAAAAAUAUGUAAGUGUUCGGUAAACAUUAAGAUGUCGAGAAAUAAAUCUGAAAACGCAUCACACGGUAUAGCUGACUUAUAUAAACCCUUAAACCAAAUAUCAGAAAUCCUUGUCUUGUAGUUUCUGAGUAAAAUGUGACGAACAACUUAUCUAUAAUGUUUAAAAUGAUACAAGUGUUCGGUAAACAAGAAGUUGACGAGUGAUGAAACUGAAAACGCAUAGCACAGUAUAGCUGAUUUAUAUAAACCCUGAACCCAAAUUUCAGAAAUCCUUGUUAUGUAGUUCCUGAGAUAGAAGCGACGAAAAAAGUUCAUGGAAUGGACAAACGGACGGACAGAUGGAUGGACUGACGGAUGGACUGACGGACGUACAGAUAGAGGCAAAACAGUAUACCCCACUUUAUCAAAGUAGAGGUAUUAGAAGGCAAAUUUCAUUUUUAUUUCUUGUACUACAUUCGGCUGUUACAAAAUGAUAGAAAUUAUUAUAAAUUAAGGAAUGUAUCUCCCUCAUGCAAAGCUCUGAUUCCUCUCACGGAUUUGGCUAUACUUUUUUAAUUUUAUUCUAUAUUUUCUUCUUCCAAUUGUUGUAUUUCAUCAUAUUUUCAUAUCUAAUCACUCCUUUACAAAAUUGUAAAUCAGGAAGUUUCUGUCUUAGCCAGUUUUUAUCUCCUGCAGUUUGCUCACAAGUUUAUUGUCUCCAGAAAUAUAUCUAUUAAUAAUUUCUGGGUAGGAAUUAAAGGCAAUUUUGAAUUAAAAUGUGCAUGGGGAUAUAAAACUAAACACGAGCAAUUAAAUCGCCAUUACUACCUGAUUCAGGAGUGUUAAUACACAGAUUAACAUCAUACAUUUAUACACCAUAUAAAAAUUUCAUUGCUAUUGACAUGUAUAUUAAAAGAUACUUAAUUAUGUACAAUUUAAAAAAAAAAACUUGAGAAUGUUUCUGGCUAUUUAUUUCAUACUAGACUUUAAAUUUAGUUGUUUCUUCCCUUUCAGCACUAAAGAAGACAUUUUAGAUGAGUCUUAGGAUUUUGUCUUUAGUAAAACAGUUAAUGAUAUUUAGUUGAUAUUUUUAAAAGUACUAUAUUUACAAAUUUGAUGUAAAAUCAUAUUGUUCACAAUAUAUGGUUGAAU
RNAcentral lists this long non-coding RNA (1848 nucleotides) under Mytilus galloprovincialis (Mediterranean mussel). Lineage: Eukaryota; Metazoa; Mollusca; Bivalvia; Mytilida; Mytilidae. The record is from RNAcentral.